UGAGGAAUUUUCCGCAAUGGGCGAAAGCCUGACGGAGCGACGCCGCGUGGGCGAUGAAGGUCUUCGGAUCGUAAAGCCCUGUCGGGGGAGAAGAACGCCUUCUCGGUAAAUAAUCGAGAAGGUAUGACGGUAUCCCCAAUAGGAAGCUCCGGCUAACUACGUGCCAGCAGCCGCGGUAAUACGUAGGGGGCAAGCGUUAUCCGGAAUCACUGGGCGUAAAGAGCUCGUAGGCGGUUUGGUAAGUCGCAUGUUAAAGACCCGGGCUUAACCCGGGGAAUGCACGCGAUACUGUCGAACUUGAGAGCGGGAGAGGUAAACGGAGUUCCAGGUGUAGCGGUGAAAUGCAUAGAUAUCUGGAAGAACACCAGUGGCGUAGGCGGUUUACUGGACCGUUUCUGACGCUGAGGAGCGAAAGCCGGGGGAGCAAACGGG
RNAcentral lists this ribosomal RNA (432 nucleotides) under uncultured bacterium. RNAcentral describes it as "bacterial SSU rRNA". It matches the Rfam family "Bacterial small subunit ribosomal RNA", at positions 355 to 776 of the family's 1533-position model. The record is from RNAcentral.